CCAACAGGGAUUGCCUUAGUAACGGCGAGUGAAGCGGCAAAAGCUCAAAUUUGAAAUCUGGCACCUUUGGUGUCCGAGUUGUACUUUGGAGAGGCAUCUUCUGGAGGGGCCCAGCCUAUGUGCCUUGGAACAGGACGUCAUAGAGGGUGAGAAUCCCGUCCUUGGCUGGAUGUUCCCUCCUGUAAGUAGUGUCUUCUACGAGUCGAGUUGUUUGGGAAUGCAGCUCAAAAUGGGUGGUAAAUUUCAUCUAAAGCUAAAUAUUGGCGAGAGACCGAUAGCGCACAAGUAGAGUGAUCGAAAGAUGAAAAGCACUUUGAAAAUAGAGUCAAAAAGUACGUGAAAUUGUUGAAAGGGAAGCGCUUGAGACCAGACUCAGCCUUUGGCAAACAACUAUCCUUCUGGAUGGUGCACUUGUCAUUGGUUGGGCCAGCAUCGGUUGGGACGGCAGGAUAAAGGCCCAGGGAAUGUGACUCCUUUAUGGAGUGUUAUAGACCCAGGCGGCAU
This 504-nucleotide ribosomal RNA is filed under the name Tuber puberulum. Its description in RNAcentral is "eukaryotic LSU rRNA". It matches the Rfam family "Eukaryotic large subunit ribosomal RNA", at positions 65 to 573 of the family's 3401-position model. The record is from RNAcentral. Lineage: Eukaryota; Fungi; Ascomycota; Pezizomycetes; Pezizales; Tuberaceae.